CCCUGGCAGGGUGCAGAGCAAGGGCUGGGCUUUCACUGGCUCCCUUUUAUUUUAUCCCCGUGUUAAAGCUACAGAAGAAGUGCAAGAAUUCUUGUUUUUUGGGCCAGAAAUUGAAGGGGAGAUAAGAAGCUGGGGUCAAGGUCAAAUAGCUCCUUCAAGGUGGUGCUGGAAUUGGGAGCCAGAGGGUCUGAGCUCUGACUGCCAAAGCCAAGUUCUUACUGUCAAAUCCAGAUGCCAGAGACAGAUUGGAAAUGAAACAGAAUUACAACAGUGAUGAUCCUAAUGACCCCAACAAUAAUUCACAGCAAGUCCAACACAAAAGAGAGUCGGCGGCUGAGUAAUGGGCAAGGCAACAUCUUCAUGAAACCAAGGGAAUUGGAGGCUUGGGGCCUAUCAUUCUCUAAAGGACAACUGAGUUUAAUCCCAAAUAGGGAAGGAAAACUUGUUGGAAGAGACAGAUCAGAUGACAGUGCAUACAAUACUGCUGGAGCAUCUGGAGAAGGAAAAGCAGCUGCUCACUGUAUUUUGUAAACAGGUCACAUCGUGGAAAUGGCUGUUUCUUCCACUAUGCAUUUUAAUGUUCAGAAUCCAUCACUUUUGCUGAUGUUUAUAAAGCCCACUUCUAUGUUUCCUUGUUGGAUAUUGUCAGAGGGCCCAGAGGAGGCCUUUAUCUCUGCCAUAAUCUCGGAGCCAGGGGAUGAAAAUCACGGAAGAGUGGAACACUUCACUCAAGGUGUCGAAAUUUAUCGGUGGAGAUAUUUUAUCAGACCUCAUUAUGAGAUGCUAGAAUGCAAGAGCUAUGCUUGUCAUUUUUAUUUCACUCCGGGUACGUUUUGUGGGCCAUUUUGAUGCUAAGACAAAAGUGUGGGAAGCUAAUGACUCUCUGAAGAAAAAAAAAAACAGAA
Canis lupus familiaris (dog) is the source of this 905-nucleotide long non-coding RNA. RefSeq lists it as uncharacterized. The transcript has 4 exons. NCBI's taxonomy places the organism in Eukaryota, Metazoa, Chordata, Mammalia, Carnivora, Canidae. The record is from RefSeq and is a predicted model, not a curated record.